Molecule: ribosomal RNA, 307 nt
Filed under: uncultured bacterium
Lineage: Bacteria
Description: partial 16S ribosomal RNA
Rfam family: Bacterial small subunit ribosomal RNA
Source: RNAcentral
AGACAGCAGCCGCCACGGUAACACCGAGGAUGCAAGCGUUAUCCGGAAUGAUUGGGCGUAAAGCGUCUGUAGGUGGCUUUUCAAGUCCGCCGUCAAAUCCCAGGGCUCAACCCUGGACAGGCGGUGGAAACUACCAAGCUGGAGUACGGUAGGGGCAGAGGGAAUUUCCAGUGGAGCGGUGAAAUGCGUUGAGAUCGAAAAGAACACCAACAGCGAAAGCACUCUGCUGGGACGACACUGACACUAAGAGACGAAAGCUAGGGGAGCAAAUGGGAUUAGAGACCCCCGUAGUCCCUGUCUCUUAUAC